RNAcentral lists this long non-coding RNA (540 nucleotides) under Equus caballus (horse). RNAcentral describes it as "lncRNA (ENSECAG00000047097.1)". Lineage: Eukaryota; Metazoa; Chordata; Mammalia; Perissodactyla; Equidae. The record is from RNAcentral.
GAGGAGUCAGCUCAGGAGUGGCAGAGCUGAGCUUCUAACGCAGAGCUGACCUUCUUGUCACCUUGAGGAAACCACUGGCUCCCCCAUCGACCCCGAGAAGGGGCGGCAGGACACACCUCAUGCCCCCCAGAGCCCACGGUCGGGCUUCCCAUCGCCACCGUUUUUGCGUACCCGGUGGGGACUCGUCCUCGAAAGCCAUGCCGAAAUGAACUGGUGAAGUUGACCUCAUCUUUCCUGUGGGGAAAAUAUACUUAAAAAACUAAAAUCCAAGGCAUGGAAGAUAAUAACAUGAAGCUCACUACAGAUCGCAGAAGCUAUUCUGAAGCUAUUCUGCUUGUUAUUUAAAAUCUAAUCCUGUUUCAGUUAGUUCUGCCCCAGUAUAGACUCUGAAGCAAGAUACUCUUCAACGUCAGUUGAGCACACGCUGAGUCCCAGAAUUAGGGGGACAUCUCGCCUCUGUGCAUGGGCUCCCACCGGGUCUCCAUUCUCCUCCACCCACUUCCGUCUUCCCAACCAGGAAUCCAUGGAAGAUGGUGGGAU